UCAUUAGAUACUCAGUUCGGAUUGUGGGCUGCAACCCGCCCACAUGAAGUUGGAGUUGCUAGUAAUCGCGAAUCAGCAUGUCGCGGUGAAUACGUUCCCGGGCCUUGUACACACCGCCCGUCACACCAUGGGAGUUGAGAGCACCCGAAGUCAGUGAGGGAACCGAAAGGGCCCAGCUGCCGAAGGUGAGAUCGAUGACUGGGGUGAAGUCGUAACAAGGUAUC
Molecule: ribosomal RNA, 224 nt
Filed under: uncultured bacterium
Lineage: Bacteria
Description: partial 16S ribosomal RNA
Rfam family: Bacterial small subunit ribosomal RNA
Source: RNAcentral